UAGAGAAUACCAAGGCGCUUGAGAGAACUCGGGUGAAGGAACUAGGCAAAAUGGUGCCGUAACUUCGGGAGAAGGCACGCUGAUAUGUAGGUGAAGUCCCUCGCGGAUGGAGCUGAAAUCAGUCGAAGAUACCAGCUGGCUGCAACUGUUUAUUAAAAACACAGCACUGUGCAAACACGAAAGUGGACGUAUACGGUGUGACGCCUGCCCGGUGCCGGAAGGUUAAUUGAUGGGGUCAGCGCAAGCGAAGCUCUUGAUCGAAGCCCCGGUAAACGGCGGCCGUAACUAUAACGGUCCUAAGGUAGCGAAAUUCCUUGUCGGGUAAGUUCCGACCUGCACGAAUGGCGUAAUGAUGGCCAGGCUGUCUCCACCCGAGACUCAGUGAAAUUGAACUCGCUGUGAAGAUGCAGUGUACCCGCGGCAAGACGGAAAGACCCCGUGAACCUUUACUAUAGCUUGACACUGAACAUUGAGCCUUGAUGUGUAGGAUAGGUGGGAGGCUUUGAAGUGUGGACGCCAGUCUGCAUGGAGCCGACCUUGAAAUACCACCCUUUAAUGUUUGAUGUUCUAACGUGGACCCGUGAUCCGGGUUGCGGACAGUGUCUGGUGGGUAGUUUGACUGGGGCGGUCUCCUCCUAAAGAGUAACGGAGGAGCACGAAGGUUGGCUAAUCCUGGUCGGACAUCAGGAGGUUAGUGCAAUGGCAUAAGCCAGCUUGACUGCGAGCGUGACGGCGCGAGCAGGUGCGAAAGCAGGUCAUAGUGAUCCGGUGGUUCUGAAUGGAAGGGCCAUCGCUCAACGGAUAAAAGGUACUCCGGGGAUAACAGGCUGAUACCGCCCAAGAGUUCAUAUCGACGGCGGUGUUUGGCACCUCGAUGUCGGCUCAUCACAUCCUGGGGCUGAAGUAGGUCCCAAGGGUAUGGCUGUUCGCCAUUUAAAGUGGUACGCGAGCUGGGUUUAGAACGUCGUGAGACAGUUCGGUCCCUAUCUGCCGUGGGCGCUGGAGAACUGAGGGGGGCUGCUCCUAGUACGAGAGGACCGGAGUGGACGCAUCACUGGUGUUCGGGUUGUCAUGCCAAUGGCACUGCCCGGUAGCUAAAUGCGGAAGAGAUAAGUGCUGAAAGCAUCUAAGCACGAAACUUGCCCCGAGAUGAGUUCUCCCUGACCCUUUAAGGGUCCUGAAGGAACGUUGAAGACGACGACGUUGAUAGGCCGGGUGUGUAAGCGCAGCGAUGCGUUGAGCUAACCGGUACUAAUGAACCGUGAGGCUUAACCUU
This 1276-nucleotide ribosomal RNA is filed under the name Escherichia coli. RNAcentral describes it as "partial 23S ribosomal RNA". It matches the Rfam family "Bacterial large subunit ribosomal RNA", at positions 1672 to 2925 of the family's 2925-position model. The record is from RNAcentral. Lineage: Bacteria; Pseudomonadati; Pseudomonadota; Gammaproteobacteria; Enterobacterales; Enterobacteriaceae.